AUUUCACAAAUUGAGAUAGUUGCUAACUUUUCAUGACUACAAGAUUAAUUUUUAAUGUAAAAAAUAAAUCAAAACUAAACCCAACCUAGUCACACUAUACAGCUACCUCAACAAACCACAACCUUAAAACUCGGAUUAGAUACCCGACUACUAUGUGGCCCAACAUAAAAAAGAAUACUACGAGCGAAAGCUUAAACCUCAAACAAUGUGGCGGUGCUUUACUCCUUAUCAGGGGAUCCUGUGGCUUAAUUCGAUAAUCCACGAUAAAUCUAAGCUACCCUCGCAUUUCAGCUUGUGUAUGGCCGUUUAUGCUUGCUCAUAAAAGAAAAAAAAGGAAGCAAUAGAACUAAUCAUUCGACAAUUCAGGUGACAUACAGCCAAUGGGAAGCAGACCUAUGGGAUACAAAUAAAUACACUAACAAAUUCAAAGCUUUAAACUUUAAUGAAGGAGGACUUGAAAGUAAGACUUAAUACUUACAUAAAAUAGGUCUGAAUAAGAACUAAAGCGCGCACAAAUCGCCCGUCACUCCGACAAUAAAGUAGGAUAAGUCGUAACAUAGUAGGGGUAAUGGAAAUUGCCCCUAUAACA
This 589-nucleotide ribosomal RNA is filed under the name Unio tumidus. Its description in RNAcentral is "partial 12S ribosomal RNA". The record is from RNAcentral. Lineage: Eukaryota; Metazoa; Mollusca; Bivalvia; Unionida; Unionidae.